Molecule: ribosomal RNA, 495 nt
Filed under: uncultured bacterium
Lineage: Bacteria
Description: partial 16S ribosomal RNA
Rfam family: Bacterial small subunit ribosomal RNA
Source: RNAcentral
GACGAACGCUGGCGGCGUGCCUAAUACAUGCAAGUAGAACGCUGAAGGGGGAGCUUGCUUCUCUGGAUGAGUUGCGAACGGGUGAGUAACGCGUAGGUAACCUGCCUGGUAGCGGGGGAUAACUAUUGGAAACGAUAGCUAAUACCGCAUAAUAUUGACUAUUGCAUGAUAGUCAGUUGAAAGGUGCAACUGCACCACUACCAGAUGGACCUGCGUUGUAUUAGCUAGUUGGUGGGGUAACGGCUCACCAAGGCGACGAUACAUAGCCGACCUGAGAGGGUGAUCGGCCACACUGGGACUGAGACACGGCCCAGACGCCUACGGGAGGCAGCAGUAGGGAAUCUUCGGCAAUGGACGGAAGUCUGACCGAGCAACGCCGCGUGAGUGAAGAAGGGUUUCGGAUCGUAAAGCUCUGUUGUAAGAGAAGAACGAGUGUGAGAGUGGAAAGCUCACACUGUGACGGUAUCUUACCAGAAAGGGACGGCUAACUACGUG